This 129-nucleotide small RNA is filed under the name Enterococcus massiliensis. RNAcentral's name for it is "Listeria sRNA rli38". It matches the Rfam family "Listeria sRNA rli38", at positions 2 to 131 of the family's 150-position model. The record is from RNAcentral. Lineage: Bacteria; Bacillati; Bacillota; Bacilli; Lactobacillales; Enterococcaceae.
UGGAAUGGGAAUAAAGAGCUAACAUAAUAUGGACGGGGAAUGCCUAUAAAUCAGCACUUUGUUACUUUUAAAAUGCUUGAUUUCUAUUAAAAAUAAGAAGGUUCCCUACCUUUUCCCUACCAAAAAGCU